UGAUCAUGGCUCAGAUUGAACGCUGGCGGCAGGCCUAACACAUGCAAGUCGAACGGUAACAGGAAGCAGCUUGCUGCUUUGCUGACGAGUGGCGGACGGGUGAGUAAUGUCUGGGAAACUGCCUGAUGGAGGGGGAUAACUACUGGAAACGGUGGCUAAUACCGCAUAACGUCGCAAGACCAAAGAGGGGGACCUUCGGGCCUCUUGCCAUCAGAUGUGCCCAGAUGGGAUUAGCUUGUUGGUGAGGUAACGGCUCACCAAGGCGACGAUCCCUAGCUGGUCUGAGAGGAUGACCAGCCACACUGGAACUGAGACACGGUCCAGACUCCUACGGGAGGCAGCAGUGGGGAAUAUUGCACAAUGGGCGCAAGCCUGAUGCAGCCAUGCCGCGUGUAUGAAGAAGGCCUUCGGGUUGUAAAGUACUUUCAGCGGGGAGGAAGGUGUUGUGGUUAAUAACCGCAGCAAUUGACGUUACCCGCAGAAGAAGCACCGGCUAACUCCGUGCCAGCAGCCGCGGUAAUACGGAGGGUGCAAGCGUUAAUCGGAAUUACUGGGCGUAAAGCGCACGCAGGCGGUCUGUCAAGUCGGAUGUGAAAUCCCCGGGCUCAACCUGGGAACUGCAUUCGAAACUGGCAGGCUUGAGUCUUGUAGAGGGGGGUAGAAUUCCAGGUGUAGCGGUGAAAUGCGUAGAGAUCUGGAGGAAUACCGGUGGCGAAGGCGGCCCCCUGGACAAAGACUGACGCUCAGGUGCGAAAGCGUGGGGAGCAAACAGGAUUAGAUACCCUGGUAGUCCACGCCGUAAACGAUGUCUACUUGGAGGUUGUGCCCUUGAGGCGUGGCUUCCGGAGCUAACGCGUUAAGUAGACCGCCUGGGGAGUACGGCCGCAAGGUUAAAACUCAAAUGAAUUGACGGGGGCCCGCACAAGCGGUGGAGCAUGUGGUUUAAUUCGAUGCAACGCGAAGAACCUUACCUGGUCUUGACAUCCACAGAACUUUCCAGAGAUGGAUUGGUGCCUUCGGGAACUGUGAGACAGGUGCUGCAUGGCUGUCGUCAGCUCGUGUUGUGAAAUGUUGGGUUAAGUCCCGCAACGAGCGCAAC
This 1099-nucleotide ribosomal RNA is filed under the name Salmonella enterica. Its description in RNAcentral is "bacterial SSU rRNA". It matches the Rfam family "Bacterial small subunit ribosomal RNA", at positions 14 to 1102 of the family's 1533-position model. Lineage: Bacteria; Pseudomonadati; Pseudomonadota; Gammaproteobacteria; Enterobacterales; Enterobacteriaceae. The record is from RNAcentral.